UUUUUCAUCCGUUGCUGCUUCACCAUGUGUUUGCACCUCCAGAAGUUCCUUUGCUGUUUUAACUUGUUAGGUUCCCCCCUCUUUAUCUUUUUUUACUUCUAGAAAUACUUCUGUGGCACAAAAGGAGAAAAAAAACUCUGCCCUUUGUGCUGUGUUUCUGUUCUCUUUGCUAUUCACUAAUUGAUCUAUUGUUUCCCACUUCUACAGGCUUUUCACCCAUUGCUGCCUUGACCGCCAGUUUGCCCCUCCAGAAGCACUUCUGUCACCCUUCUUUUAUUUAUUUGGGUCAUUCCAUACCGAAAAAACAAUAAGUCAAAAGCAAGAGGGGAUAAAGUUUUUGCUCCUGUUUACCGUGAUCUACCUGUUAAUGUUCAGCCCAUUUCCCCUGAAUAAACGCUUCUUCAUCUCCUCCUGCAUCCAACUAUCCAAGUAGCCACAACCCCACCCCCAAGAAAAAGGAAAGAGAGAAAAAAAAAUAUCUGUCAUUGGAGUUAUGUUACCUGCUUGCCUGUUUAUAUCCUCCUAGCUUUCCCCCAUUUUGUGUCUUUUGUCUUUACACUAUACCCGAUUCCGUGCAUUCUCAGA
This 585-nucleotide long non-coding RNA is filed under the name Triticum aestivum (bread wheat). RNAcentral describes it as "long non-coding RNA (TAES_LNC000468)". The record is from RNAcentral. Lineage: Eukaryota; Viridiplantae; Streptophyta; Magnoliopsida; Poales; Poaceae.